UUUAUAUUAUAAGAAUUAUGUUUUCUAUACGUUUCUACAAGUAUACGUUUUUUCUUCAUCAUUAGUAACCCGGGUUAUUCUUUCUGCAAGUAUUAUGCUAACCAGUAUUUUCUUAAUUUUAGUUUUCUCAUAAGAUUCACCUUGAAACUAUGUGUGAAGUAAAGAAAAUCUACCUUCAGGAUGAGUUUAGAAUUUUGAAGAAAAAGUCCUUCACUUUUCCAGGAGACCAUAAGUCAGUUACAGCUGAUACAGAGAUGUGGCCUGUCUAUGUGGAAUUGACCAAUGAAAAGAUAUAUGGCUGCGAUUUCAUUGUCAGUGCUACAGGAGUUACACCAAAUGUAGAACCUUUUCUCCAUGGUAACAGUGUAAGUUUGAUCUAGGAGAAGAUGGUGGCCUGAAAGUGGAUGAUCAUAUGCACACAUCCCUUCCUGAUAUCUAUGCUGCCGGUGACAUCUGUACUACAUCCUGGCAGCUGAGCCCAGUCUGGCAGCAGAUGAGGCUGUGGACCCAGGCUAGACAGAUGGGAUGGUAUGCAGCAAAGUGCAUGGCUGCAGCGAGUUCAGGAGACUAUAUUGACAUGGAUUUCAGCUUUGAACUGUUUG
Molecule: small RNA, 602 nt
Filed under: Pan troglodytes (chimpanzee)
Lineage: Eukaryota; Metazoa; Chordata; Mammalia; Primates; Hominidae
Description: retained intron
Source: RNAcentral